This 3158-nucleotide long non-coding RNA is filed under the name Homo sapiens (human). RNAcentral's name for it is "novel transcript, antisense to PRKCDBP". The record is from RNAcentral. Lineage: Eukaryota; Metazoa; Chordata; Mammalia; Primates; Hominidae.
GGGGAGGCAGGCAACACCAGCCCUCAGGCUACACUCUCCAUUUGGAGCAGAGCUUCUUCGGCAGCCCCAGGUCUCCCGGGAUCUUCCUCGGUGUCCUGCGGAGGCUCUGGCUCCAGCGUGGGCUCCAGCGCAGGCUGGGCUUCCGGCUGGGCUUCAGCGCUCCGGCCAGGCCCAAGGCGAGGCGGCUUGACCGGGGUGGGCGGUGGCGCUGCAGGGCCUUUCCGGCCCGAAAGGGCCCUUCGGAGGCUCUGUACCUUCUGCAAUCCGGUGCGCCGCAGCCGCUGGGCCCUGGACUCCACCGGCUCCUCGUCCGAGCUCUCUCCAACUUCGGCCUCCAGCUGCUCUGGGCCCAGCUCGGACUGGUCCGCCGGGCCCAAGGGCUCUGGUGCCUUCUGGAAAGCGCUGGCUGGGACUUCACCCUCCUCCUGCAUGUGACGGACACAGCACUGAUCCUGGCAGCUCCUUACCCCCAGCAGCCCGAAACUCACUCCUUAAUUACACAAGGGAAACCUUUUACCUCCGCAGCCAGAGUCUGGGGGGAAAGGCAGGCGUGGGAAGAUGGGUUCUCUACCUGGCCAGUGCCAUGUUGCCUGUUUCUUUACUGUAACUGUGGUGACAAAGAAAAGGGAAGAUGGAGCCUCCAUGUUGAACAUACCUGGCCCCCAGCACUAACUCCCUCUCUGGAUAUCUGGAACAAGGAGGACCUUAAACUUAACAAUAAAGCCAAUGAUGGUUCUACCAGUCUCCCCAAAGCCUCAAGUUUAAAAGCCAUAUGAACUGGCUGAUAGUGGAAAAUGGAAGCCAUGAGGAAAUCAGAUUAGAGUACUACCUGGUGAAGCCUGGAGGACCUACCAAGAAAAGCAAACUUGGAUCUUUGCAAGGUUAGAAGAACGAAUGGGAUCCAAGAAAAAGACUGGUCAUAUUCAACGGCUAAGAGCGUUGGAGAAGGCCUGUGGAGUCUCAGCAGGUCAGGUCCAUGACUCAUGAGUAGACACCUGUGUUUCUACUGCCUGGUGCCAUAAUCAUAAACAAGGAAGAAACUGAGGACAGGAGGGGCCAAACAAGUUACAGUUUCAUCCCUCCAGAGAGCCAACAGAGUAUUUUGCACGAAGUUGAAGCUAAACAGAGUAAUCAGCAAAUGCCUUUCCUUUCUCCUGCUGAUGUUUUGCCCGUACUCAGACCCCUUGACUUCUUAGCUUCUACCCAAAGUGAGCUUGUCAUCAAAGUUCUCCAAAAAUCUGCAGUGUUCUCUUGAGCAAAUCUGCUUCCAAGACUAUAGCGCUCUGAUGCAUUGAGAUGACAGCAAGCGGCAUUUUUCAGUCCUGUUACCCAUAUGGCUGCUACCACUGCAUCCUGUUAAAUAAUGUCUUCAACCCAAGAAACCUGCUUCCUAGGGAAGUUUCUCUCUCUCUGCAUUUGUUCCCACUAGAGAAUGACCAUCACCAGAUUCCUGAACUGAAAAUGCUGUUGACACUUUGGAAACUCGGGCCUCUAUUAAUAGGGUGACCAACUAUCCUGGUUUACCUUGAGUACAGGAUUUUCAAUGCUAAAACCAGAAAAACCAGGAUGGUUGGUCAUCUGCCUCAGACCUAAUAAAUACCAGUCAAUAAUUCAGCCAUGAGCUUUCUUAAGACACUGUCUUUUCUUGACUGUUGAAUAGUCUAGGACUUGAGUAGCAGCUCUUUCUGCUACUGGACACUUGUUUUACUACCCUAUUUCUCUAGAUUUUAUUUUGUGGCUAAUAAUUAAGACAUAAAAUCAUGGGUUCUGGUUAUGCCAAAGCACUCACUCUUCAAAAGUUUCCAUCCAGAGUUGGAUAAUCCCACACAGAAGGUGUUCUUUCAACAGACCAGCAUCCAAUAGACCCAAUGCAGCAUUUUUCUUCCUGGUUCCACAUUAAUACAUCCUAUCUCUGCUAUGCUUAGGUCCCUGAUUUAUAAAUAUUUCAGACAUAUUUUCUCAGGACACAGGGAGUACUUAAACUUCCACAUAGCAGAGAUACGACAUACAAUAAGCUGUUAUCUGGAAACUCCUAGUGAUGCUUUGAGUACUUUACAGUAAUCUUUCUGGUCUUCCUCUCAACCCCAUUAAGUUUUUCUGUAACUAGCUGGUGUAUCUGUCUCCAUCUUUAAGGAAUAAGUCCCUAUUUGCUCAUGCUAUAAUCUCCCUCAUGCUCUCCGUCCCUCCUUCCCUCUCCUUCUCUCUUUCUGUCUCUCUCUCUCUCCACCCUGAUUGUGAGAUGCUACACCUUAAUAGUUUUCUAUACCUAGAUCCCUUUUGAAGGAGUAAUUUCAGCCAUCACUGAAAUCUAUGCUUUUUUAUCUUGUUAGAUUUAUUUAGGACCUAAUGACUGUUUCUGAGCUAAUAAUAACGCAAUCAGCUCAUAUUUUUCUGAUACUCUAAGAGCAAUUACAUCUAGUUGCAUCACCUUUUCCUUUUUUAUUCAUGUAUCUUAGGCUUCUCAAGAUAUGAGACUAGCACUUGAGCCUGAGAUAAGCCUUAAGAAUUCCAGGAUAGUCUCUCCAUAGUUCCCUUUCUUGGAUAAAGUCAUUUCAAAACAUCUUAGUGGAUCAGAUUUGGAGCAGCCUACUUACACUGGUGAAUACCACAACUAAUAAAUAAUUGUUCUGCACCCCACCCACAUCUAAAGGAUUCAGGGUGUCUUUUACAGAUAUAGGACUCUCCUUUCUCUGUUUCUCUUCUCUCUCUUCUCCUUGAUUAAAGCUUUGCUUCAGCUGUCCCUGCUCACUACGGCACUGCACCUCACCAGCAUCUUCAUGGCCCUCACAUGGCUCAUGUGCAUAUCCUAACUCUGAUACUAAGGGAGGAGACCACCCCUCAUAUUGUCUUAUGCCCAAUUUCUGCCUCCAAAGAAAGAAGAAGUAAAAACUAAAAGGCAGAAAUGAAAUCCACAAGCAGACAGCCCGGCGCCACACCCUGGGCCUGGUAGUUAAAGAUCGACCCCUGACCUAAUCGGUUAUUUGCAUAAGAAAAGCACUGUGAAGAUCCCUGUCCUGUUCUGUUCCAUUCUAAUUACCGGUGUAUGCAGCCCCCAGUCAUGUACCCCUGCUUGCUCAAUCGAUCACGACCCUCUCACGUGGACCCCCUUAGAGUUGUGGGCCCUUAAAAGGGACAGGAAUUGCUCACUCGGGGAGCUU